CUGAGGCGCUUGUAACGGCUUACCUGUCGGCAUAUUAGUGGAGAGGCAAGGUGGGAAACACGUCAGUUUCCAGAGACGUUCAAUUAUCUCAGCUACGUCGGCAAAGAGAACAAACGUCUGGCAAAGAAGCUGAAUAACGUGAUUUGGGUGGAUUUUCCGCCGAUGUGACUGAGCGGCUUUUAUUUUAAGUCACUGGAUUGAGGAAAUGUUGAAAAUAGCACACGGCUCUCUUAAUGAGACCUCCAGAGGAAAGAAGGAGCCCACCGGUCACUGGACUGACUGGGGGAUGGGACAUUAGCCUUCAACCUUUUGCAGGAUCAGUUUGAAAGGAGAUCAGAAGGAGGAGGAGGGGUCUAUACCAGGAGUCUGACCAAAUGACCUGCAGGCUGAUUAUAUGUCAUUAACUGGAGACUCGGCCUAUUUAAAUUACUCAGAACUUCCAUUCAGACAGAUGAAUUACGCCUGAACCCCACACACAACACUUAAACACGAAUAAAUCAUGAACCUUC
Long non-coding RNA from Carassius carassius (crucian carp), 509 nucleotides. RefSeq lists it as uncharacterized. The transcript has 2 exons. The record is from RefSeq and is a predicted model, not a curated record. Lineage: Eukaryota; Metazoa; Chordata; Actinopteri; Cypriniformes; Cyprinidae.